Agrilus planipennis (emerald ash borer) is the source of this 1291-nucleotide long non-coding RNA. RefSeq lists it as uncharacterized. Lineage: Eukaryota; Metazoa; Arthropoda; Insecta; Coleoptera; Buprestidae. The record is from RefSeq and is a predicted model, not a curated record. The transcript is spliced from 3 exons.
UCAUUGGAUAUACCGGCUGGAGCACUCUGGCUUACGGAAGAAGGUAUCGAAGAUAAAAUGGAAUACGAAAGAGCUUACAAUCCACAUACCCUCCAAGAAGGUUGGAAAAUUUUAGAAGAAAAAAGACAAAAUGAAGAAGAAACUAUUCGACUAAGGGAUAAAGAAAUAGGAGAAAAUCUCAAGAAACGUUUCGUCUGGGAGAAAGAGUUGCAAGAUAAAAUAGCCAAGAAAGCAGAAGCAUUACGUGUUGCUCGAGAAAAGAAAUCUCGAUUAAUUGAUGAAGUUUGUCGAAAGUUAGGUUUUGCGGUGAAUCCGCGAGACCCUAAGUUCCAAGAAGCCCUUGAAAAAAUUAACAUUGAUUUAAGAAUCAUUAUGAUAAUGUAGAUGAUAACAAUAUGUAUGAAAAUCAAAUUGUUCUAGUUUUUUUGAUGAAAUCGACGAAAAAAACAAGAAAUCCGAGGUUUUUAUUGAAGAAAAAAAAUGUAAAGAACGAAAAAUAACAUUGAUCGAAUCUGAAACAACUUUUAUAUUUAAACUAUUACAACUAACAAAAAACUUGGAUACUUCUACUAGUGGAAUGGUGUCAACGGGUAGCAAUGAAUACGAAAAUGUUAGAGAUAAAUUAGAUUCAAUUAGAACAGUAGUCGAUAGUGCAACACAAACAUUGACAAUUCUCAUGAAGCCUAAGUUUACAUAUUUGACAACAUCGAAAAUGAUUAAUUGUGCAAAUUCGACUAACAAUUGGAUAAUGUAUGAUACAUACUGUACUAAAUUUGUGAAUGAAUCGAGCCAGUUACUUGAUAACAAAAUAUCAAAUGAAAUAUUUGAUUCGUCAGAAGUAGAAGCUGUAAGUAUUAACUAAGAAAGUCGUUUGAAAUUUAUGAAACUGAGUAGUGACUUAAGAAUGAAAGCAGAUAAAAUGACUUGUUUGUACGAAAAUGUAAGAUUUGCUGGUGCAGUGAGAGAGAUGGAACAAAUAAUAUGUUUGAAUUUGAAUGCUCAGAAAUGUUUCAGAGGCCUGACAAAAUCUAAUAAAUACGAUUUAGAGUCAAAUAUUAAUUACCGUUUACAAUAUCUGUGGAGUUUUAUUUAUAUUGAUUUAAAAAAAAGAAGAAUAAAUAGUGUUUGUUGGAAUGGAAAAAAUUCCAAUCUUCUGGCAGUCAGUUAUGAAGGAGAAUUGAACGAAUGUAGUAGAAAUAUUUUAAUUUGGAACAUGAAACAUCAUUCUCAACCUGAACGAUUAUAUAGACUGAAUUUUGCAAUCUCAGAUAUUAAUUGGAGUACUAAGAAA